UGACUAACAGUCACCGCCUGGGAGCAUGGCAAGGGCCAAAAGAGAGCUGUCUCUAGAAUGAAGGCAUUCACAGUGAUCAGCCUGGGCACCGAGGACCUGGGAUAGACACAGUGUGGCUGGAGUCAGGGGUGUGUUCAAGGUAGCAGCAGGAGGUGGGGACACGCCCAGUGAGGGGAAGACUAUAAAGGAUUUGUGUGCUGUGGAGCAUGGGCUUGGGACCCUCCAUUACACUGGCCUCGCCUUUAGGUGCUUGAAUUCAUGCACCCCUUCCUGCCCCCAGGGCUCAACGGAAGCUGUUCUAUCAAGAAAGUUCUCAAUCCCACUCUUCUGUUAGCUGGCUCCUUCUCAAGCUUGUGAUCCCAGCCCUGGGUCACCUCCUUAGAACCCCCUGAACACCUUAUCUAAAAGGUAGCAGCCCUGCCUGUGCUGAUAUUCUUCAUAACGCUUUUAAAGGCAGUAAUCAUUUUA
Molecule: long non-coding RNA, 468 nt
Organism: Odocoileus virginianus texanus
Lineage: Eukaryota; Metazoa; Chordata; Mammalia; Artiodactyla; Cervidae
Source: RefSeq, a predicted model, not a curated record